Molecule: ribosomal RNA, 106 nt
Filed under: Escherichia coli
Lineage: Bacteria; Pseudomonadati; Pseudomonadota; Gammaproteobacteria; Enterobacterales; Enterobacteriaceae
Also listed under: 3 other names
Description: partial 16S ribosomal RNA
Rfam family: Bacterial small subunit ribosomal RNA (bases 1-94)
Source: RNAcentral
CUUCGGGAGGGCGCUUACCACUUUGUGAUUCAUGACUGGGGUGAAGUCGUAACAAGGUAACCGUAGGGGAACCUGCGGUUGGAUCACCUCCUUACCUUAAAGAAGC